AAAUUGAAGAGUUUGAUCAUGGCUCAGAUUGAACGCUGGCGGCAGGCCUAACACAUGCAAGUCGAGCGGUAGCACAAGAGAGCUUGCUCUCUGGGUGACGAGCGGCGGACGGGUGAGUAAUGUCUGGGAAACUGCCUGAUGGAGGGGGAUAACUACUGGAAACGGUAGCUAAUACCGCAUAACCUCGCAAGAGCAAAGAGGGGGACCUUCGGGCCUCUCGCCAUCAGAUGUGCCCAGAUGGGAUUAGCUAGUAGGUGAGGUAAUGGCUCACCUAGGCGACGAUCCCUAGCUGGUCUGAGAGGAUGACCAGCCACACUGGAACUGAGACACGGUCCAGACUCCUACGGGAGGCAGCAGUGGGGAAUAUUGCACAAUGGGCGCAAGCCUGAUGCAGCCAUGCCGCGUGUGUGAAGAAGGCCUUCGGGUUGUAAAGCACUUUCAGCGAGGAGGAAGGCGGUAAGGUUAAUAACCUUAUCGAUUGACGUUACUCGCAGAAGAAGCACCGGCUAACUCCGUGCCAGCAGCCGCGGUAAUACGGAGGGUGCAAGCGUUAAUCGGAAUGACUGGGCGUAAAGCGCACGCAGGCGGUCUGUUAAGUUGGAUGUGAAAUCCCCGGGCUUAACCUGGGAACUGCAUUCAAAACUGACAGGCUAGAGUCUUGUAGAGGGGGGUAGAAUUCCAGGUGUAGCGGUGAAAUGCGUAGAGAUCUGGAGGAAUACCGGUGGCGAAGGCGGCCCCCUGGACAAAGACUGACGCUCAGGUGCGAAAGCGUGGGGAGCAAACAGGAUUAGAUACCCUGGUAGUCCACGCUGUAAACGAUGUCGAUUUGGAGGUUGUGCCCUUGAGGCGUGGCUUCCGGAGCUAACGCGUUAAAUCGACCGCCUGGGGAGUACGGCCGCAAGGUUAAAACUCAAAUGAAUUGACGGGGGCCCGCACAAGCGGUGGAGCAUGUGGUUUAAUUCGAUGCAACGCGAAGAACCUUACCUACUCUUGACAUCCAGAGAAUUAGCUAGAGAUAGCUGAGUGCCUUCGGGAACUCUGAGACAGGUGCUGCAUGGCUGUCGUCAGCUCGUGUUGUGAAAUGUUGGGUUAAGUCCCGCAACGAGCGCAACCCUUAUCCUUUGUUGCCAGCGAUUCGGUCGGGAACUCAAAGGAGACUGCCGGUGAUAAACCGGAGGAAGGUGGGGAUGACGUCAAGUCAUCAUGGCCCUUACGAGUAGGGCUACACACGUGCUACAAUGGCGUAUACAAAGAGAAGCGACCUCGCGAGAGCAAGCGGACCUCAUAAAGUACGUCGUAGUCCGGAUUGGAGUCUGCAACUCGACUCCAUGAAGUCGGAAUCGCUAGUAAUCGUAGAUCAGAAUGCUACGGUGAAUACGUUCCCGGGCCUUGUACACACCGCCCGUCACACCAUGGGAGUGGGUUGCAAAAGAAGUAGGUAGCUUAACCUUCGGGAGGGCGCUUACCACUUUGUGAUUCAUGACUGGGGUGAAGUCGUAACAAGGUAACCGUAGGGGAACCUGCGGUUGGAUCACCUCCUUA
RNAcentral lists this ribosomal RNA (1542 nucleotides) under Pectobacterium carotovorum. Its description in RNAcentral is "bacterial SSU rRNA". It matches the Rfam family "Bacterial small subunit ribosomal RNA". Lineage: Bacteria; Pseudomonadati; Pseudomonadota; Gammaproteobacteria; Enterobacterales; Pectobacteriaceae. The record is from RNAcentral.